RNAcentral lists this unclassified non-coding RNA (520 nucleotides) under uncultured Glomus. RNAcentral describes it as "SSU rRNA". It matches the Rfam family "Eukaryotic small subunit ribosomal RNA", at positions 569 to 1090 of the family's 1831-position model. Lineage: Eukaryota; Fungi; Glomeromycota; Glomeromycetes; Glomerales; Glomeraceae. The record is from RNAcentral.
AGCAGCCGCGGUAAUUCCGGCUCCAAUAGCGUAUAUUAAAGUUGUUGCAGUUAAAAAGCUCGUAGUUGAAUUUCGGGGUUAGUAGGUUGGUCAUGCCUCUGGUAUGUACUGGUCUCACUGAUUCCUCCUUCCUGAUGAGCCGUAAUGCCAUUAAUUUGGUGUUGCGGGGAAUUUGGACUGUUACUUUGAAAAAAUUAGAGUGUUUAAAGCAAGCUAACGCUUGAAUACAUUAGCAUGGAAUAAUGAAAUAGGACGUUCGAUCCUAUUUUGUUGGUUUCUAGGAUUGACGUAAUGAUUAAUAGGGAUAGUUGGGGGCAUUAGUAUUCAAUUGUCAGAGGUGAAAUUCUUGGAUUUAUUGAAGACUAACUACUGCGAAAGCAUUUGCCAAGGAUGUUUUCAUUAAUCAAGAACGAAAGUUAGGGGAUCGAAGACGAUCAGAUACCGUCGUAGUCUUAACCAUAAACUAUGCCGACUAGGGAUCGGAUGAUGUUAAUUUUUUAAUGACUCAUUCGGCGCCCUU